Molecule: ribosomal RNA, 253 nt
Filed under: uncultured bacterium
Lineage: Bacteria
Description: partial 16S ribosomal RNA
Rfam family: Bacterial small subunit ribosomal RNA
Source: RNAcentral
UACAGAGGGUGCAAGCGUUGUUCGGAAUUACUGGGCGUAAAGGGCGCGUAGGCAGCCUGCUAAGUCGAACGUGAAAUCCCUGGGCUCAACCCAGGAACUGCGUCCGAUACUGGUUGGCUUGAAUCCGGGAGAGGGAUGUGGAAUUCCAGGUGUAGCGGUGAAAUGCGUAGAUAUCUGGAGGAACACCGGUGGCGAAGGCGACAUCCUGGACCGGUAUUGACGCUGAGGCGCGAAAGCCAGGGGAGCAAACGGG